Molecule: ribosomal RNA, 476 nt
Filed under: uncultured Chromobacterium sp.
Lineage: Bacteria; Pseudomonadati; Pseudomonadota; Betaproteobacteria; Neisseriales; Chromobacteriaceae
Description: bacterial SSU rRNA
Rfam family: Bacterial small subunit ribosomal RNA
Source: RNAcentral
AGAGUUUGAUCCUGGCUCAGAUUGAACGCUGGCGGCAUGCUUUACACAUGCAGGUCGAACGGUAACAGGGUGCUUGCACCGCUGACGAGUGGCGAACGGGUGAGUAAUGCAUCGGAAUGUACCGUGUAAUGGGGGAUAGCUCGGCGAAAGCCGGAUUAAUACCGCAUACGCCCUGAGGGGGAAAGUGGGGGACCGUAAGGCCUCACGUUAUACGAGCAGCCGAUGUCUGAUUAGCUAGUUGGUGGGGUAAAGGCUCACCAAGGCUUCGAUCAGUAGCGGGUCUGAGAGGAUGAUCCGCCACACUGGGACUGAGACACGGCCCAGACUCCUACGGGAGGCAGCAGUGGGGAAUUUUGGACAAUGGGCGCAAGCCUGAUCCAGCCAUGCCGCGUGUCUGAAGAAGGCCUUCGGGUUGUAAAGGACUUUUGUCCGGGAGCAAAUCCCAGUGGUUAAUACCUACUGGGGCUGAGAGUACC